GCAGCCGCGGUAAUACGUAGGGGGCGAGCGUUUUCCGGAAUCACUGGGGGUAAAGGGGGUGUAGGCGGGCUAGCAAGUUGCGGGUAAAAACCCAGGGCUCAACUCUGGGGGAGCCUGCAAAACUGCUGGUCUUGAGGGCGGGAGAGGAGAGUGGAAUUCCCGGAGUAGCGGUGAAAUGCGUAGAUACCGGGAGGAACACCAGUGGCGAAGGCGGCUCUCUGGACCGUACCUGACGCUGAGGCGGGAAAGCUAGGGGAGCGAACGGGAUUAGAUACCCCGGUAGUCCUAGCCGUAAACGAUGGUCACUAGGUGUGGGGGGUAUAAAGCCGUCCGUGCCGCAGCUAA
This 345-nucleotide ribosomal RNA is filed under the name uncultured bacterium. RNAcentral's name for it is "partial 16S ribosomal RNA". It matches the Rfam family "Bacterial small subunit ribosomal RNA", at positions 511 to 855 of the family's 1533-position model. The record is from RNAcentral.